This 947-nucleotide ribosomal RNA is filed under the name Citrobacter sp. S55_ASV_140. RNAcentral describes it as "partial 23S ribosomal RNA". It matches the Rfam family "Bacterial large subunit ribosomal RNA", at positions 1563 to 2489 of the family's 2925-position model. The record is from RNAcentral. Lineage: Bacteria; Pseudomonadati; Pseudomonadota; Gammaproteobacteria; Enterobacterales; Enterobacteriaceae.
GUGAUGACGAGGCACUACGGUGCUGAAGUGACAAAUGCCCUGCUUCCAGGAAAAGCCUCUAAGCAUCAGGUAACACGAAAUCGUACCCCAAACCGACACAGGUGGUCAGGUAGAGAAUACCAAGGCGCUUGAGAGAACUCGGGUGAAGGAACUAGGCAAAAUGGUGCCGUAACUUCGGGAGAAGGCACGCUGAUAUGUAGGUGAAGUGAUUUACUCAUGGAGCUGAAAUCAGUCGAAGAUACCAGCUGGCUGCAACUGUUUAUUAAAAACACAGCACUGUGCAAACACGAAAGUGGACGUAUACGGUGUGACGCCUGCCCGGUGCCGGAAGGUUAAUUGAUGGGGUUAUCCGUAAGGAGAAGCUCUUGAUCGAAGCCCCGGUAAACGGCGGCCGUAACUAUAACGGUCCUAAGGUAGCGAAAUUCCUUGUCGGGUAAGUUCCGACCUGCACGAAUGGCGUAAUGAUGGCCAGGCUGUCUCCACCCGAGACUCAGUGAAAUUGAACUCGCUGUGAAGAUGCAGUGUACCCGCGGCAAGACGGAAAGACCCCGUGAACCUUUACUAUAGCUUGACACUGAACACUGGUCCUUGAUGUGUAGGAUAGGUGGGAGGCUUUGAAGUGUGGACGCCAGUCUGCAUGGAGCCGUCCUUGAAAUACCACCCUUUAAUGGCUGGUGUUCUAACGUGGGCCCGUAAUCCGGGUUGCGGACAGUGUCUGGUGGGUAGUUUGACUGGGGCGGUCUCCUCCCAAAGAGUAACGGAGGAGCACGAAGGUUAGCUAAUCCUGGUCGGACAUCAGGAGGUUAGUGCAAAGGCAUAAGCUAGCUUGACUGCGAGAGUGACGGCUCGAGCAGGUGCGAAAGCAGGUCUUAGUGAUCCGGUGGUUCUGAAUGGAAGGGCCAUCGCUCAACGGAUAAAAGGUACUCCGGGGAUAACAGGCUGAUACC